Molecule: long non-coding RNA, 308 nt
Filed under: Homo sapiens (human)
Lineage: Eukaryota; Metazoa; Chordata; Mammalia; Primates; Hominidae
Description: non-protein coding LINC00174:18
Source: RNAcentral
AAGAUGUGAAGAUUUACAGCUUGAUAAACCAGCUUCAGGAGACAUGAUCUUAUGAAUUCAACACAUGAAGAUUUACAACUUGAUAAACCAGCUUCAGGAGAUCAGAACUUCUUAUAAUACAACUGACGUUACUCAGCCUAGAACAAAUACAACAGGGAUUGUGCUGCAUUCUGACUUGGAUUCUGCCAUCGAACACAGAAUGCCCUGAUCCUUAGAUGCAGAGGCAGCUCUUCAGCCUAUGGGGGCUGCUGUAAAAUAUUACAGGCAUACUUUGGAGAUGUUACGGGUUUGGUUCCACAUCACUGCAA